This 496-nucleotide ribosomal RNA is filed under the name uncultured bacterium. RNAcentral describes it as "partial 16S ribosomal RNA". It matches the Rfam family "Bacterial small subunit ribosomal RNA", at positions 28 to 507 of the family's 1533-position model. The record is from RNAcentral.
GAUGAACGCUGGCGGCGUGCCUAAUACAUGCAAGUAGAACGCUGAAGAGAGGAGCUUGCUCUUCUUGGGUGAGUUGCGAACGGGUGAGUAACGCGUAGAUAACCUGCCUUGUAGCGGGGGAUAACUACUGGAAACGAUAGCUAAUACCGCAUAAUAAUGGCUGCCACAUGUCAUUUAUUUGAAACGGGCCAUUGCUCCACUACAAGAUGGAUCUGCGUUGUAUUAGCUAGUUGGUGGGGUAAUGGCUAACCAAGGCAACGAUACUUAGCCUACCUGAAAGGGUGAUCGGCAAAAUGGGACAGGAGAACCGGCCAAGACCCUAAAGGGGGGAGGAAGAGGGAAAUAUUGGAAAAGGGGGGAACGCUUGCCGAACAACGCCCGGGGAGGGAAGGAGGGUCUCGGGUUGGAAAACCCUGUUGUAAGGGAAAAACGAGUAGGAGAGUAAAAAGUUCACACUGUGACGGUAGCUAACCAGAAAGAAACGGCUAACUACGUG